RNAcentral lists this ribosomal RNA (253 nucleotides) under uncultured bacterium. RNAcentral describes it as "partial 16S ribosomal RNA". It matches the Rfam family "Bacterial small subunit ribosomal RNA", at positions 524 to 776 of the family's 1533-position model. The record is from RNAcentral.
UACGGAGGAUGCAAGCGUUAUCCGGAAUGAUUGGGCGUAAAGCGUCCGCAGGUGGCCAUGUAAGUCUGCUGUCAAAGCGUCUGGCUCAACCAGAUAAAGGCAGUGGAAACUACAUAGCUAGAGUAAGGUAGGGGUAGAGGGAAUUCCUGGUGUAGCGGUGAAAUGCGUAGAGAUCAGGAAGAACACCGGUGGCGAAAGCGCUCUGCUGGACCUAAACUGACACUGAGGGACGAAAGCUAGGGGAGCGAAUGGG